Molecule: ribosomal RNA, 206 nt
Filed under: uncultured bacterium
Lineage: Bacteria
Description: partial 16S ribosomal RNA
Rfam family: Bacterial small subunit ribosomal RNA
Source: RNAcentral
UACAGAGGGGCAAGCGUUGUUCGGAAUUACUGGGCGUAAAGGGCGCGUAGGCGGCCCGCUAAGUCGAACGUGAAAUCCCCGGGCUCAACCCGGGAACUGCGUCCGAGACUGGUGGGCCUGGAAUCCGGGAGAGGGAUGUGGGAAUUCCAGGGUGAUUAGCGGUGGAAAUGACGUAGAUAUCUGGAAGGAACACCGGUGGCGAAGGC